Alligator mississippiensis (American alligator) is the source of this 4882-nucleotide long non-coding RNA. RefSeq lists it as uncharacterized. The record is from RefSeq and is a predicted model, not a curated record. The transcript is spliced from 3 exons. NCBI's taxonomy places the organism in Eukaryota, Metazoa, Chordata, Crocodylia, Alligatoridae.
GAACACAUACAAAGGCCUCUUCCUCAUUUUUUAUAUUAGGCCUGCCUUCUAAGUCCUCUUUCUUUCCACCAUUUUCUGAGAUGCCCAACUUCAGAGAUGCCCAGCUUCAGACGCUUUCACACAAUUAUUCAUCUGCGUUUCAGGUGUAACUUCUCAAAGGAAUGUAGGAAGCUCCCCUUUCAGAGCUUGGGUUGAGAACCAGGCUUGAGAUCCUGCUGUUUUGAUUGGUGGAGCCCAUCCACCAAUCAGGAGGCAGCAAGAGAAAUAGAGUCAUGCCCCUUUCCUGAGGGGAGGGGGAGAAGAGCUCCCCCAGACCUGACUGAAGACUGUAAGCUGUCAGGUCCAGAAGACUUCAGGGGAGGAGCCCCGGCACGUAUAAAAGGAGAUGCGUGCCCAGCACCAGUGGCAGAUCCAGCGAGGGAUUCAAGAAAAGUGGAGCCAAGAAAAGCUUGGGAGCUCUCUCCCAGUGGGCAAUAGGCCCAAGGCUCCUGAAGCUGCCACUGGAGGAGCAGCCUUGGGAGUGGUGCAAGACCACUCGGGCUGUUGACGGUGCACAGGGAUGGUGCGUGGAGACCCAGUCCUGGGAGCGGCGUGAGACCACUGGGGCCCAUCACGGUACAUGGUUCAGUGCAUGGAGCCCAGCCUUUGGGAGCUGCAAGCAGUGGCUCAAGCCUGCAACCCCAGAGGGCCAGCAGGCCAUAUGGUAUGCAGGGAGGCACACGGGCCCGAGCCUUGGGAGCCAUGGCAGGGCAACUCAGGCAUCAUUGUGAGUAACCCUGGCAGGAGGCUGGGCAGGGAGGUGCACAAGCAACGCACAAGGGAGCGGUGCCAGGGAGCAGUGGAGGCUGUUUGGGUUAGCCACUCGGCAUAAGGACGGACAGCCAGAGACUGAAAGGUCCAGCCUGUGCUAAAAGAGCUCUUGGUGCCAAGCCAGGGCAUGGGGAAAUGGUAAUGCUGCAGCGUGAGGCCCAGCACCCAGAAGCCAUCAGCAGUGGUGCAGCAGCUGAGAGGAGCUGAGCCCUCGGUGCCCAGAGUGGGGCACAGGGUGGGGAGGAGCCCAGCGGUACGGGAGAGGCCUGGAGAGGCACUCCAGCAGAGGAGACCCCAUCGAGCUGCGCCCUGACCACCACCACCUGAAGGAAUAACAGUAUAGCUGUAUGAAUCCAGAGACGGCAAAGUCUGAAGACUGAAACUCAACUGCUAACUGUUUAAAAGGAGGUUGGCAGAAUAAGGAAAGAGGUUUGAAGUUUUAUUUCUCAUCAGAUUUCACUUGCUGAGCAUAUGCCUCAAGAAAAAUGGUCUGAGAAGAAGAAGAAAAAUAAACAGAGGCAAUCAAGAAAGGGAAAUAUCCCUUUGGUAUGCGUGACAGAGAAUUCAGGACAGCAAUACAGAAAUGCAAGGCGCUUCAAGGGGGUCUCCACUAGCUCCCCUGCAAUUGUGUUUCUGAUGGUCGAACGGAAAUCAAGUCACAGCUGUGUGCCACGUUUGGGUUUAUAUUAAUGCAAUUAACACUGCCGUUUGCUGACCCACUUCUUCUAAUCCAUCUUCUCCUCCCCAGGGCUGGUGCAUCAUAUAUAUUUCUUUUUCUGCUGGCUGGAACCUGGAUCUGAUUGUGCAAGACUCCCUAUUCUUGGUUGCUUGGCAGGGGAUGUUCUUGCACUAGAUCUCAAUGAGACAUGACAUUCUAAAUGCACUAGAAAAUUCAGGCAUCUAACAACCUUAAACAAUUGUUGCUAAUAUUCCUAUUCUAGAUGACAGGGGACCAGAUCCAGCUCCCUUGAACUCAAUGAGAAGUCUGACAUAGACUUUAGGGGGGCUCUCCCAGGUCCAUAGAGGGUAUCACAAACAGGAUUGUAGGUGGACUCUGUUCUAAGGGGGCAGAAAAUCUAUUCAAGGUUGUUCUGCUUAGUCCAUGUGCACUAAAAUAAUAAGAUGCUUCUCUCAGAGGGUUGAAUCCACUGACUCUCUCCCUUUUCAUUUUCAGACCAUCCUAGGCAAAUCUCAUCUAGGAAUCCAGAUUAAGUUAGUACUAAAAAAUGACAAAUUUUAACCUUUGUAACCAACCAAUACCAACUUUCAAUGGUGAGACCACAGCCUCUCUCUGGAUGGAGAGCCGGGGGGAGAGGGCGGUUGGGGGGGGGGGGGGUGGUGCAGAAGAAAAUUUAGCCUUCAGAUUCACUCAGUCAAAGCAAGUUUAUUAUGAGAAUCAAUUGUAGGACUUUGAGAUCUGUGCCUGCCCAGUGGUAUGUAAUAGGGCUGCACAAAGCUUUGGUUGGUGAUUCGAUUCAGAGGAGAUUCGGCCUGAUUUGGUGGCUGAAUCUUCGAAUCCGAAUCGAAUCAGGGGACCAAUCUAAGGUCUGAAUUGAUUCAAAGCUCUCCAAAUCUUCAGAAAAGAUUCAGAGAGCUUUGAUGAUUUGGGCAGUCCCUGGUGGCUGCAGCAGGGAAGGGGAAAAAAGUCAAGAAAAUCCCUGGGACUCACCGCUCCUGCAGUGGCCUUGGGGCUUUGAGGACUCAUGCAGAGCCCCCCACAUGGCUUGGGGCAGUGGGGAUAACCCCCUCUCCCCCAACUGGCAGGAGUGGUGAGUCCAGGUUUUUUUUCAUUUUUUUUUCUUAAAGGGCUAGAGCUGGCUGGGGCAGGGCACCUGUGGGGGGCCUGAGGGAGCGAGGGGGGAGUUGGGGGGCUCAUGCAGAGCCCCCCAUGCAGUAGGGGGUAAUGGGGGGCAGCAGGAAUCCCCCCCCCCCAAUCCAGCAGCACCCACUGAGCUGGGGCUUUUAUUUUUUCCAAGUGCCAGGAGCUGGGGUAGCCAUUGCCGGGCUGGGAGAGGGGUGGGGGACAGGCAUGGCCUGGCUGAUUCAGAGACCUGAAUCAGAUUUGGCUGAAUUGAAUUGGGACAGUGAUUCAAAUUGGGACAGUGAUUUGAAUCACCGAAUCAAAUCACUGUCCCCUGAAUUGGCUGAAUCUGAAUCCAAAGCAAAUACUAGCCGCUUCACACAGGCCUAAUAUGUAAGCAUUAUUUAUUGUAAGAUUUUAAAUAACUGAAGGAUAAGUUCUCUUACUGGAUCUCUGAGCAAUUUAGGUAGAGAAUUAAAUUAGCUAAAUUGGAAUCUAGCUAAUAUCUUGAUGUUUAAUAAUCUUACCUUGGCAAACAGUACUGUGACAUCUCAAAUGACUAUGAAUGAUUACAGCCUUUUUUUGCAUGUAUUAGCCAAAAGACAUACCUGUUCAUCCAAAACAACAUAGCUACAAUAUUAGGCUUCUCCAGACUGUUAUACCAACAAGUCUAAAUCUUGAUAUGAAGAAGUUAUCUACAUGAAGAAAAAAAAUUGAGUUUCUUUUUAUAGUAACAUCUAUAGUAUCACUAUGCUUCACAAAUAAACCACUAGUAUGAUAUGCCAAUAAGGCUUUCCAAGAAGCAAUGUAAUUCUUGUGGUUACUCAUUUUAAACUAAUAUUUUACCAUCUUUUUCUUUUUAAUGAAUGUUGGACCAAAAAAAACAGAUUCCACAUGGUCUGAACACUGAGGCUAUUUGUACAUGAAACAAACUGUUGUAGCAAUGAAAAUGAGCACAGCUAUUCUUACAGAGCUACUCAUCUCUGUCUCCUUUAUGGAAGUUAGAACUUUAGAGAAGGUCACACGAUUUGGGAGUAAAUCACAUGAGAACACUUCAGGCCACUCGGAAUGGAAGUAAUAAACCAGUGUGACAGACUUACCCAAUCGAGCUCCGUGUCCAGGGGCUCGAGACUACUCAAUUCUGAUUGGUGGAGCCAAUUCACCAAUCAGGAACAAGCUGGCGGAAAGCGGGAACCACCCCCUUCCCAAGGUGGGGGGAGAGGAGCUCCCCAACUGGACUGUGGACUGCAGCACAGCUGGUCCGCCAGACUGCCUCUGAAGCAUUUAAAAGGAGAGCGUGCUCAGCAUGCUGGAGGCAGACACGGCGAGGGACAGCGAGGAGAGAGGAGCUCUGGAGAAGACUGUCAUUGAGACCCUGCCUAAGCCCUGGCUCUAGGCCGGGUAACCAGAGCCUGUCAAUGUGGUUCAGCAUUAAACUAAAAGAGCCCCGGUGCCCAGAUCAGGGUCUGGGAAAGGGAAAGAUCCCUGGCGUGAGGCCGAGGAACUGGAGCCAGUAAGGGUUCAGCUCCUGUAGGAGUGCCCUGGGUGCCCAGUGCGAGGCACCAGGCCAUCAAGAGGAGCCAGAGGCACCUCAGGAGAGAGGCCCUUGUGGGACUGGCCACCAGGGGAUGCGCUUUGUCUGCUUCAGAGCAGGAGCAUGAGUUGCUGAGGAAGUGGGUCCCACAGGGGAGCCAGGCUUGGGAGAGGAGUGUCUACAGCCUCCACCCUCCUCCAUUGUCCACAUCCCGGGACCCUAAAGGGAAGGGGCUCCAGGGAACACCCCAUGGGGUGCUGAAUGCACCCCAUUGUUUGUGAUUGAUGUUUGCUUCAUACUGUAAAUGUUAAUAUAGUUAUGGGUACUCCUUAAAGGGGUUUAUAUAGGUUUACCUGUCUUUAUUACCCAUAUAUGUUUACUGCCUAUUAUCUCAACUUACCAGUAUUGUUGCUUGUGUACAUCUAUUGCAAUGCUACCUCAACUUACCUGGGUUUAUCUGAGUUGAUGCGUAUAUGCAUUUAUUGUGUUGAUGCCUUGACUUACCUGUUCCAGGGGGUUAAUGUUUAUCUGUGCAGGGGGGUUAAUUAUUGCCUACACUGUGGAUCACGUGUACUGAGUUCCCAGUUACCUGAUCUUGGUUUUGCAGUCCCUCAAAGUGGUGCAAUGUGUUGAUUGCAGGUUAUUGUAUAUGGUGUCACAUUGCAAUUGUACUGUAAAUAUUUAAUGUCUUUUAUUUGUAUUUAUUUUUGUAUAGCAAUAAAUUUAUAUAUAGUUAA